AAAUAAAAUAAAGGAGGAGCCUGUAACAGCAGAGGCCAGGAGAGGAGGUGGGUAGGCGAAUGAAGUAAAAGAAGAGAUAAGCAUAUAACUCACUCAAACGUAACCACUCUCUCUCUAUCUCAGCCGAGGAUCUAGUGGAGAUGUCGUCGUCGGCGAAGACGGAUUCGAAGAGCCAGGCGUCGAUUCCGCCCUACAUGAAGGCAAUCUCGGGCUCGCUGGGCGGAGUGGUCGAGGCGUGCUGUCUCCAGCCGAUCGACGUCAUCAAGACGCGUCUCCAGCUAGAUCGCGGCGGCGCCUACAAGGGAAUCGCGCACUGCGGCUCCACGGUGGUUCGCACGGAAGGCGUCCGCGCUCUCUGGAAAGGUUUGACGCCGUUCGCCACUCACCUGACGCUCAAGUACACGCUUCGGAUGGGAUCCAACGCCAUGUUCCAGACCGUGUUCAAGGACUCGGAGACGGGCAAGGUGAGCAACCACGGCCGUUUGCUAUCCGGAUUCGGCGCCGGUGUUCUCGAAGCGCUCGCCAUUGUUACACCCUUUGAGGUUACUUCCCCCCUUUUCUUGCUUACUUUACGGGUCAAAUCACAUGGCUUCUCCAGCUUAUUUUAGAUAGUGAUUGGAAUUAAAUAAAAUAGUUUUAUAAUAAUAGUUAGUUGGGAAAAGAUAUUAUUCAUGCGCCAGAUUCACCUUGCUCAUCAAUAAGCCAGCAGCAAUGAGAUUUGUUGAAAUACUCUUCAAUGUGACCAUGCCAUGUACUCUAGAGUUUUCAUUUUCACUCUAAAUCUCCAGGUGGUGAAGAUUAGACUUCAGCAACAGAAAGGAUUGAGUCCCGAGCUUUUCAAGUACAAAGGUCCCAUCCACUGUGCUCGUACCAUCGUCAGAGAAGAAUCCAUUUUGGGUCUAUGGUCUGGUGCUGCACCCACCGUUAUGCGUAACGGCACCAACCAAGCUGUCAUGUUCACUGCCAAAAACUCCUUUGAUGUCCUCUUGUGGAACAAGCACGAAGGCGACGGUCAAGCCUUGCAGCCCUGGCAAUCCAUGAUCUCUGGGUUCUUAGCUGGUACCGCUGGUCCCUUCUGCACCGGACCCUUUGAUGUGGUCAAGACCAGGUUGAUGGCUCAGACCAGAGACGGUGAAGGUGGGCUGAAAUACAAAGGGAUGGUUCACGCCAUUAGGACCAUUUAUGCUGAGGAAGGACUAGUGGCUCUAUGGAGAGGAUUGUUGCCGAGGCUGAUGAGGAUUCCUCCUGGACAAGCCAUCAUGUGGGCUGUUGCUGAUCAGGUCACUGGUCUCUAUGAAAAGAGAUAUCUCCUUAACGCACCUUUAUAGAGAGUGUGAGAGAGACAUUUGGUUCUUUACAAGUUAUGAGUUUUUUGUUGGUUUAUUUUUGUGAGGAAUGGGAAAAUCCAAAUUCAAUUCUCCCCUAGACAUUUUGAUAAUAACGAAACACACUCUUAGGGAUGUGUAUUCAAUUCAGACUAGUUUCAUUUUAAAGGAAGAUUUAUAUGAUUUUAUAUGAAUUGGAAAGUUUGAUAUGAUUUUUGUUAACUAUAUUUGUUCUUCGAAUUUUGAAUUUUUUUUAAAAAAAAUGAAUGCAACAUGUUUUGCAGUGAUUUACUCCUUUUUUUUUCUUUUCAGAAAAAGAAAUAUUUUUUUUUUGAACAAUAAAAAAUAUAUAUUUUAUUGCCAUUUUAUAAUUAAUUAUUAAAGCCACUUUAUAUUUUUCAGUUUUACUAAUUUUACCAAACUCUUCCAUUUUAAUUUUAGUAGUAGUCUGAGACAAUUACUAUUAUAAAUUAAAUACUAUUAUAUGAUACAAUUAUUAAUAUAACAUAUAUAAAUAAACAAAGAAUAUUAUAAUUUGUAAUAAAACACCGAUUAUAUAUAUAUAUAUAUAUAUAUAUAUAUAUAUAUAUAUAUAUAUAUAUAUAUAUAUAUAUAUAUAUAUUUAAGUGAUUUAACUAAGCGUUCCAAAAUAAAAAAAAUGAGCUCAUUUUAUUUUAAAAUUUUCUAAAAUCGAACAUCAAAUUGUUAGAAAUUAAUAUUUUUCAUGUUCUUUGUUAUUAAAAUCUACUUGGAUGAAAUAACAAUACAAAUUUUGGUUCAGUGGGUAUUUUUAUUGUUAUUCUCUUUCGAUAAUACCCACAUGUUUUUUUUUUUUUUUGAAAAAAUGAUACAACAAAGUUACAUGUAAGUUUGUAACACAUGUUUAGCAGUUCACGGGAAAAAGAUAAGAUCUGAUCAUAUAACUAUGUGUUUAAAAAAAAAAGAAAUCAUAUAACAAUAGAUUGUUGGAACCACGGCGACAAAGAUGAGAAAAAUAGUAUUAUUUAAAAGAUCUAAUCGAGUGAGGUAAGGUUUCUGUGAAAAACGAUUAUAAUGAUUCAAUGCUAGUUUUACAGUCUCGUCUUCUGACUGGAUUUCUUAGGUAACAUUACUGGUGUGUGUGCAUUCUGCAGACCUAUAUUGUCACUCAUUCUCAACGUCCAGCUGCUCGAAGGUCCAUUCGAAUGCGGUCAGCGUACAUUGGGAGACGGAUGAUCUCUCUUAUCUCUUGAAGCAACACUUCCUCUGUGAUGUUGUCGUUUAUGCUUUUAAUCACCUAUAUUUUUACACACAAUAACACGAGGAAAUAAAUCAACAUUUUUUCUCUCUUUCUAAAAAUCAGAUAGAUCUGUCUGCUUUAAAACACUGACCUUACGAGCGGUGUUGAUAUCGUUUGGUGUAGUUUUGUCGACUCUGAUACGCAUGCUAACCCAUACUUUCUUCUCCUUAUCCCAUGAACACUCUACAAUCUUCCCAUUGUAGCUUGACGGAUCCGAACCAUCUCUGAACUCAACCGUAUAUCCGUCCAUAAGCUUUUUCUUCCCUCUUUCAAACAAGAAGAGCAUCCUGCGACCUUCAUCCUCCUCGCCCAUCUCGAACAGAAAGUCUACCGAGUUCAUUUCCGCAUACUUCCACUUCAGCAGACCUUUAUGCGUUCGGGGAACGUAAGGAUCGUCCCAGCCCUGUUUUUAUUAGUCCCCAAUAACAUAUGUCAGCUCACGAAAUGCAAUCACUAUGUGUGUAUGUCUGCGUUCAGGAAAAACAGAAACAUCUGAAUAUGGUUACCUGAAAUAUAAGGCCAUCUGCUUCAUGCGAAAGUGACGGAAUGGUACCCUUCAAAAGCUUCUCAACUGUCGAGAGCAAAUAAAAACCCUUCAUCCGUACCUAAGUAACAACAACAAAAAUUAACAACAAAGAAAAUGAAAACAUAUGGCGUGUGGCAGGAAAGGUGACUCACACCAAAAGGCUCCAGGUCAUAUCUGUAGCAAUGAUUCCUUUGCUUAUCAACAUCACGGCCUUUGAUCACCUCGUGCACUACCAUGUUCCAUCUUUCACAGAAUGUCCGCUGGUUCAUUUUUAAGAAUUAACUGUAAGUUAUCUAAAAUACCUUACAGUAAGUAAUAACACGGAUAUCAAAACCCAACGAUGGAAUAAUGAAAGUGCCAACCUCUACGACUGAUUCACCGUUGAUUGCUACCAAGUCAUAUACGAGGUACCUCCUCCUCGCCUGCCCUUUUUCAUUCAUCGGAUUAUCUAUAACCAUUUCUCCAUCAAGCAAAGUGAAAUGAUGUACUUGAUCAGGUAUUCCCUACACCCCAAAACAAAAACAAAAACACGGUAAGGGAAUUCACAAGUUUUAGAUAUUCACACAAUAAGGCCUCUAGGCAAUGACAAAAAAAUUACUCACUCCACUUGAGUGCCUACAGGGGAAACGCAUCUGUACCCUUCGAAACUUAAAGCUCCUAUCUAUCAGAUAGCAACCAUCUAUGGUUAAGAGCAUCAUAUAACGUGUUCCAUCUGCUUUCCAUGUCGCAUAAUAGUAGCGCUGUCUCAAAAGUUGUAAACUCUCCCUGUGCACAAGUAGUAGUAUUUGCAAAAAGAAAAGCUGUUAGAUUCAACGACAUUGAGAGACAAGGACUAAUGAACCCCUAAAAUGAAGAGCAUUAGACUUGCUAAAUCUUCAUUGUAUUCACUACCACAAGGCAGAGUCAUACCUGUCUAAGGAUACAGGGUGUGACCCUGGGAAUUGUGCACAUCCUCUUCCCUGUAUCACAGCAAAAAUUUAAUCCAGAAAAACAAAAUUAGGCGAAAUGAAAUAUUCCAUACGAACAUAUAGCCUAAAAAUAACAGAUAAAACAUUUGAAUUCUACCCCAAUACUCAUCAUAAGCAUCUUAUAACAGAAUUUUCGGUAAGCUUCUUCUUGAUAAUAGGGUAUUUCAUCACCCAAUAUGUCAUCAUUUGACAUCGUCACAAUCUCCUGACUGAUUUCCUGAAACCACAAAAGGCAAACUCAGCAACAAACAAAUGAGAUCAGCAGUUCAGCACAUCUGAAGCUUAUAACUGCAUGCGGGAUAUUGAUUCUAAUCGAAAUUUCUGUGAAUAGGUGUUAAACUUAAGAGCUUAAUAAAUAAUAAGCACCACACGUACUUGGACAGGGCCAGGCUGAGCAUCAUCAUCAUCAUCACCAUCACCGUCAUCUUGAUGAACUGCAUCACCAUUAAGAUCAAGCUCGGUAGACCUCUUCCAUUCAGGAGUUGGUGGGCAAGUAGCAGUCUCAGGCUUUAUUUCGUGAUAAAAAGUGUAUAAAGCAUCAAUAUAAUCCGGUUUAUAAAUCCCAGGUGGGCGGGCAUCAGAAAACAUUUUCAACGCCUGCCACGAAUGCCACACAGAGAGGUAAGAUUCUCCAUUCUAGAAUAAAUGAAUCAAUACAACGCGUGAGGUGAAGAAACUGAACCUGUGUAACGUUCAUGGUGGGCAUAGAGCGCAUAAGAUAAUGAACUAUCAUGAACCCUGUCCGAUUAUGCCCAUGAGUACAGUGGACGAGGAUAUACUUCUUUGGGUGUUUUUGAUUAACGAUGAACUGAAUAGCCUGAGGAUAGUACAAUGUCCUUGAAUAAGCUACUAACACAGUAGAUAAAGGUUGAUUGAAUAGACGAAACAAGUACCUCGUUGACGAAGGAGUUUACAGAGACGUUAUCCGGAACCGCAUCACGACCCCUGCAAGCAAUCUAUAAAAGAAAGAUAAAAGCAAUCCGGUAAAGGAGGUGGUGCAGACGAUACAAACAUGAUUAAAAACAUGAAUUGCAUUCACCUUAACAUGCUUGAUGCCAUCCUUCUUUAAGUCAAGUGUGGAAUAGUAACGAGUUGUAUUAGUUAGAUCAAUCACUAGACCAAGCUGACAUAGAAAAAAGAAAGAAGAGUAUGUUUAGGUCACAGAGGUCAGAGGAGAGUUGCACAUAGCAUAGAAAGAAGUGAAGAGAUUACUUUUCGUCCACUGAUUCUCUGGUUGCGGACGACUUGUUUAAAAGAGUAUCUUUUGCCAGGAGGAACAUGUUCGUUGUAAGAUUCGCUAAGGGGAACCUUAGAAGGAAUGAUGCAUCCUAUCUCCAGACCAAAACCAGGACAAUCCAGCCAACCUAUUUGUCAGCAAAAAGAAGAUCAUACUACAGAAUAUAGAAGAACGUAAAAGGGAACACGAUGUAUGGAGAAAGUUGACCAAUACCUUGAGGGAUCUUGCUUUUAUCAUAGACUCUAGUAUCACUAUUGUUGUUGUGGUGAAACUGGUGGUGAUCAUGGUGAGAGUUUCGGGAAGGCCUGUCAAGUCUCAUCCUUUUGGUUCUUUCUUCACGCUCCUAAAUUUAAACCAAAUACCAAAACUAUAUAAAUAUCAUCCAAAAGCAGCAGCAGUAGCAUCAUAAAGAAAAGAAAGAAGUGGAGAGAAUCAAAUGGUACCCGUCUAGCGAUCUCAACAGCAGACUCUGCUCGGGGUUCAAGGCGUCUCUUAAGAAAAGGAUCCUCCUCUUCCUCGGGCUCCGGUGAAGCAUUUAGGUCCAUCGCAGCAGCAGCAGACAAUCAAAUUGGCAGAAAGCAAUCCAAAAUCGCCAAAUUGGAUUCUCUACAAAGCGUAAAUUGAAUCAGGAUAUAUACACAAAGUCAUCAAAGGUUAAGGAGAUGCGACGAUCCUUUCCGUUUCUAAUGAUUUCAAUUGAAAAUGAGGAAGGCAAACAGAAUCAAGCGGAGAAUCAAUCCAAAUAAUAUCAAUCAGAUGAGAAUCGAAGACGGCGGGAAUAUGGAAAACUGAAAUCAAAACCCUACCGGAGAUAAAGAGAGUCGUCGUCGUCGUCGAUGAAAGAAGGAAGAGAGCAGCAAUCAACAACACUCGCAUUAAUAUAUACUUAAGGGUAAAACCGGUAUGUAAAAGUUGGUAAUAAAAAGCACGGGUAUAUCGGACGGCUGAUAUACGUUGCUGGUGGAAACUCGAUGAUGUAUCUUACGCCACGUGUAAAUAGGUUCCAGGUUAUUUCGUAAUUUCGGUUACACACCUUCUUCUUGCCUAUAAAUAUCUGAAGCUAUGCUCCCGUUGAAUAAAUUUCAGAAAAAACCACCGAAAAUAAAAAUCACAGAGAAAGUAGCCAAGAAGAGAGAAAAUAUUGAAAUAUUUUCUUGGAUCUGCAGAUUUUGCUCACGCAUUCUCCAGAAUCUGGCGAAUUCGUUCUUCGUAUUGACGAAUUUUCGAUGAAUCGUUUAGGUCAGAAAUCGGUGGUCUACCACGGAGAGUUGCGUCUGGGGGAGCUUGAUGUGAAGCAGGUCUCUUCCGCCUCCGGCAACAACGAAUUUCGCUUCCCUAACGACGAGAUUCGAAUCCACCACGUUUCUCCUGCCGGCGAGAGGUGUCCUCCGCUCGCCAUUCUCCAGACUAUCGCUUCUUUCUCCGUUCGAUGCAAGCUCGAGUCCUCCGCUCCGGUCAAACCUCCCGAGUUGAUGCGUCUUCACGCCGUCUGUUUCCAUGAAUUGAAGGUUAGCAUUUUAAAUUGAUUAUUAUAGAUAGUUUCAAUUUUAACAUGAACUUUGAUUUGGUGGUGAUUAUAGACUGCGGUGGUAUUGCUGGGAGAAACGGAGAUUCAUUUAGUGGCGAUGCCGAGCAAGGAGAAGAAGUUCCCUUGUUUCUGGUGUUUCUCACUCCCUUUAGGUCUCUACGAUUCCUGUUUAAGGAUGCUCAACACUCGCUGUCUCUCUAUUGUCUUUGAUCUUGACGAGACUCUCAUUGUUGCCCAUACCAUGAAGUCCUUUGAGGAUCGCAUCGAAGCUCUCAAGGUUUGGAUCUCCCGGGAGGUUGAUCCUGUCAGGAUUCAUGGAAUGUCCGCUGAGCUUAAAAGGUUUAUGGAUGAUAGGAUGCUCCUCAAGCAGUAUAUUGAUAAUGACUAUGCUUUUGAUAACGGUGUUUUGCUCAAGGCUCAGCGUGAGGAGGUCCGCCCUACUUCUGACGGCCUCGAGAAAGUUUAUAGACCUGUCAUUAGAUUGCCUGAAAAGAAUACCGUUCUUACUCGGAUCAAUCCUGAGGUUAGAACAACAUCUUUCUGUGUUGGCCUUACCUUUGUCUGGCAGUUGAUAGGAAGAAGGUCGUUUAACCAUACAUGAGUAAUCUAGUUUUGAUUUUGCUGGAACUUAAUCAAGUUUUUGUCUCCUGUCUGGGGGUUAUUUCUGAUGCAGAUCCGUGACACUAGUGUGCUUGUAAAACUUAGACCAGCGUGGGAGGAGUUAAGGAGCUAUUUGACAGCAAACACUAGGAAACGCUUUGAAGUUUAUGUUUGUACCAUGGCUGAAAGGGACUAUGCUUUGGAAAUGUGGAGAUUACUCGAUCCGGAAGCGCACCUGAUAAGCCUCAAGGAGCUUCGAGAUCGUAUUGUAUGCGUUAAACCAGGUCAAAACUCAUCUCUGGCUUCUUUCAUACCCGUGACUUUGGUUUUAGUACGCAGGUGGGCCAUGCUGCCAUUGGUGGUAGCUUUCUUAAUUUUGUACAUCUCUUUCAUUACUGUUUUUGUGCUGAAUUGUUAGUUUAUACUUUGCCUCUUCUCUCGUGCCUGGUUCGAUUUGCUUACCUCUCAGUUCUAACCUUAUCAUCUUAACCAAAAAUAUAUUCACCUUUUUCUUACUCUUUGCAUAGCAGAUGCCAAGAAAUCGUUGUUAAAUGUCUUCAAAGGUGGCAUAUGCCACCCUAAAAUGGCAAUGGUUAUUGAUGAUCGUGUUAAGGUUUGGGAGGACAAGGAUCAACCACGGGUUCAUGUUGUUCCUGCAUAUCUUCCAUAUUAUGCUCCACAGGCAGAGGCAUGUUGUUGCUCUUGAAUUCUGAUUAUUAAGCUGAGAAUUAAAUACUCUUAUCCUUUCAUUUUUCAUGUGGGUAUCUAACCAAUUUCUUGUGUCCAUUUAUCAGACAGCCCUUCCCGUUCCAAUUCUUUGCGUAGCAAGAAAUGUUGCAUGCAAUGUCAGAGGUUACUUUUUCAAGUAAGUUUUUUUUUUCUUUGUUUAAAGUAAUGAAUUCAUGCUGGUUGUUCUUACGGUUCUGGACAUAUGUGCCAGGGAAUUUGACGAGAGUUUAAUGAGUAGUAUAUCUUUGGUUUACCAUGAAGAUGAUGUGGAAACUUUACCCCCUUCACCGGAUGUGAGCAACUAUGUCAUUAUAGAGGUAAGUUUUAGUUAGAAUUUUAUCCUUAUAGAAUGUACUGCACAGAAACUUGGCCCAAUCUAGCUACAUUUUUCUGCAGGAUCCUGGCUUUGCCUCAAAUGGAAACAUAACUGCUCCUCCAGUUAUCGAAGGAAUGUGUGGGGGUGAAGUGGAACGCAGACUAAACCAAGCGGUCAGUAAAAUAGAUACAAAAUUAGAGAUUUUUUUGUCAGUUAUAAUCUGAUUUUUUGUUGACUUUUCGAUUUCUCGGGAUGAGAAGUCUGCAGCUGAUUCUUCUACUCCUGCAACGAGUAACGCUGAGCAGAAAUCUGAAACCCCCAAGCCGCAGAUAGCAGUUAUACCAAAUAACGCUAGCACAACAACUGCAGCAGCAUUGUUACCUUCUCAUAGUAAGAACUUUUAAUUCGGAUUUUUGAACUUGGAACAGUUAAUAUUUUUGCCUCUGACGUUUUCUAUCUUUUGUGUUCAAUCAAAAUCUAGAACCUAGUUUGCUUGGAGCUCCUAAACGAGAUGGCUUCACUUUUUCUGAUGGUGGAAGACCUCUUAUGAUGAGGCCUGGUGUUGAUAUAAGAAACCAGAACUUCAAUCAGCCUCCUCUUCUGUCUCGAAUUCCUAUGCAACCACCUUCGUCUUCUAUGCAUCCUCAGGGUGGUUGGUUGGUAGAUGACGAGAACCGAGCUCCUUUUCCUGGUCGACCUGCAGGAGGUUAUUCAAAUCAGCUUCCUCAUGGUAUACAAGGUUCUGCUCCUGUCACCAACCCAUCCCACUUGAGGAGCGAAGAGGUAGGUUUAGUAUUCUAUGUAUUUAUCUUUCGACAUCAAAACUAUACUGUCUACGGUCUGAGAGUUUUCUUUGCAGUUAUGUGUGGAUGAUGACCUCAAAAGGCAAAAUGCUUCACGUCAACCAACAGGUAUGGUCCAGUUUCAAAACUAAUGUAAUCAACCUGCAAUUAAUUUGGAUUGUCGGAACACUGAGUUUUUUGUUUCCUCCAUGAAGCUUGUUUUCAGUGUACCUCAUCUUCAGCUACACUAUAGACUGGCUUAGAUAGGAUGAUCACUGGUUUCCCAUCUGAUAUAAUAUAACUGCAAGGAAUCUGUCACAAGUUGAGACUCACAACUACUUUAGGAACGAAGUGCAUCAAUGCCUUUAACAUAUCAUUUGUUUCAAACUGUUUGCAGAAGGGGGAAUCCCCCAGAGUCAACUGGUGUCAAAUGGUGGAGAACAUCAUGCAGAUAGUGGAAAGAGUAAUGGUGGGCAGUCUCACUUAUUUGUGAGUGCACUGCAGGAAAUUGGAAGAAGAUGCGGUUCAAAGGUACAUAUUUUCAUAACCAGCCGAGCUAUUGCUUAUAUUCUUUUCGUCGAAUGGGAAGAACUGAUAUACGAUUUUUACAGGUGGAGUUUAGGACUGUGAUGAGUACCAACAGAGAGUUACAGUUUUCAGUUGAGGUAAUCUGGACACCUUUCGAUCUUUCGUAGUUUGUUAGUUAGUAAGUCCCUUUGUCUAAUUCUAACUUAUUACUCUCUAAAAAAUAAAAAUAUUGUUACUUGAUGUUAAUGAUGCAUAGGUUUUGUUCACGGGGGAGAAGAUUGGCAUUGGGAUGGCAAAAACUAAAAAGGAAGCACAUCAACAAGCGGCUGAGAAUGCUCUUCGGAGCUUGGCUGGUAAAAAUUACCACUGGGUGGAUUUUUCGUCCUUUUUGAACUGUGGAUCUGUCAUAACCAUUUGAUCAAGUCCCGAGAUUGUUAUUUUAAGUCAAAUCUGGUGUUUGUGUUGCUUUUCUGCAGAAAAAUAUGUUGCUUAUGUCUCACCUAUUGCUGGAGAAACAGAGAAAGGUUCCAAAAAUGAAAAUGGGUUUUUGUGGGAAAACAAUGAAGCUGUAGGGAACGAAGGGCUUGAAGAAGAAGAAGCCACCUGAAGAAAACAUUUCUGAGUUGUCAGUUUUCUCUGCAAUGGGGAAAUUUAGGUGAUGGUCUUAACAACAACUACGGAGAAAUAUGUGGGGGAAGAAGAAGUGUAAGUUAAAUAUUCCUUAACCAAAUGGAAAGAGCUAUAUAGAUCAGUGGUUUCUUUCCUUUUUAUCACACUAUUUUCUGUUAAAAAAAGUUCCAAAUAAGGGUGUUAUAUCAUGUUAGAUAUAAUCAUUUCCCCAUAGUAGCAUCUGGUCUUUGCACAAACUAUUUGUAUAGUUGAUUAUAUAAUGCGUCUUUUUUGCUGAUGUUGAACUAAUCUUGUUUUUAAGAGCAGUGUGUGGAGUUGCAAAAGGGAAGCGCUCCAAUGAUAACAUAAUUAGGCAAGAUUGUGCAUAUAAAACUCUGGAGAAAAUAAAAGUUCUCCUAAACGUACGGCGUCGGUAACUGCGAAGGCCUUCCUUGAGAUCACCAAAAGUCUUUAACUAAUAAACCACAUUAUUAAAUUUACAAGCAUUUUGAAUUCCAAAAACUGAGACUCGUAUCGUAUCGUAAAUCAUGGCAAUCCUCAUUAUGCAAGAAAUUGGAAUUUUUUGAAAAAACUAACAAUCAUAUGAUAAUCAUGAUCACUAGUUUGUGACGCCAAAAGAAUACAUGGAGAAUUGGAACGAGUUGCUGUUUCCAUUAUUAUAGAAUUGAAAGACCAAAGUCAGCAACCUGAUGCAUCCUGUGUACUUAGGGGCCGUUUGUUUCACUAUUUGUCAUUUCCAUUCAAAUGAUUCAUUUGUAUGAUCUAUUCAAAUGAUCCAUUCAGAUUUUUGUGAUUGUUUGUUUGUCCAUCCACAUAGCUCAUCUAGAUGAAUCACCUAAAUGGAUCUUAUGUUUGUUUCUUUAUUUUCAUUUCCAUUCAAAUGAGUUUAGCAAACAAAUUACCAAAAUACUCUUAUGUUGAUUUAAUCAUAUGUUUGAUAUUAAUUUUAACUAUAUUAUAUUUAAUUAUUUAAUUUAAUAUAUUUACAUUAGAAUUAUUUCAAAAUUAACGAGUUUUCUUUUUUUGCGGUUUGGGCGGGAAAACAAGAUUUUUCGGUUUUAACGGAAAACAAGAUUAUUCGGUUCUGCGCGGGAAAACGAGAUUUUUUGGUUUUGGCGGGAAAAUACAAAUUUUCAGUUUUGGCGAGAAAACAGGUUUUUGCGGUUUUAUCGGGAAACGCGUUUUUGCGGUUUUGGAGGGAACCACGUUUUUGCGAUUUUGGCGGAAACGCAUUUUUGCAGUUUUGGCUGGAAAACGCGUUUUUGCGGUUUUGGCGGGAAAACGCGUUUUUGCAGUUUUAGCGGGAAACAUGUUUUUGGCGGGAAAACACAUUUUUGCGAUUUUGGUGGGAAAACGCGUUUUUGCUGUUUUGGCGGGAAAACGCGCUUUUGCUGUUUUGGCGGGAAAGCAAGUUUUUGCGGUUUUGGCGAGAAAACGCGUUUUUGCGUUUUUAGUGGGAAAACGCGUUUUUGCGAUUUUGGCGGAAAAUGCGUUUUUUGCGAUUUUGGCGGGAAAACACGUUUUCGGCGGGAACACAUUUUUACGGUUUUCGCGGGAAAACGAGAUUUUUCGGUUUUGGCGAGAAAAUACAAAUUUUCGGUUUUGGCGAGAAAACACGUUUUUGGUUUUGACGGGAAAACACGUUUUUUUGGUUUUGGCGGGAAAGUACGUUUUUGCAAUUUUGGCGGGAAAGUACGUUUUUGCAAUUUUGGCGGGAAAACUCGUUUUGCGACUUUGGCGGAAAAACAUGUUUUUUGUGUUUUGGCGGAAAAUGUAUUUUGGGGUGUUGGCGUGAAAACAUUUUUUUUUGUAAUUUGUGAAUUACAUUAGAGGCAUAAUAGACUUUAUGCCAUUUUGAAUGAACCAUCUCCAUUCAAAUGAUCCAAAUUGGUUCAGCUGAAUGAACUUUAAAAUUAAGCCUAAAUUUCCAAAAGUCAUCCGGAUGAUCCAUUUGAAUGAAUUACACUUUUAGUGCCUAAACAAACAAAACUCUCAUCUUCAUCCGGAUGAUCCAUCCAAAUGGAGAAACAAACAGGCCCUUAAACAUAAACACGCCAUUCUCUUAUUAUCUGUAACUUCUCUAAAACCGUUUUGAUAAUACAUAUAUACAAGAACAAGUUACAGAACACGCUUCCAUCUAUUCUCAGUUCUCAGAGAAACAAAUGCAAAGUUGAACAGAGAAGAAGGUAGCCUAACUUUUUUGGACUGAUCUUGUCUGAAACUAAGAGAGAAUCAUCUUCUUUGAUGCUCUUUUGCCAAUAAAAUGUAAACGCACUCCAAAACUUGAGCAGAGUUUUUUAGAGAAGUCCAAAGUUGCUUAGAAGCUUGUAAAGCUUUCUGCGUCCCCAUUGGAUGUCUUUCUCUAAUAGCACAUGCGGCGUUCCAAGCAACGCCUCUGUCUCUAACCCCUGCUGCUGCUGCUCUUCCUCUGCUGCAUUGUAAUUCAUCUUCUCUUCACCUUUCACUGCUUCUUGCUCUGAUUUCUCAAAUAAUGUAACCGCUUUUAUUUUCUCUUUAUCAUUCCUUUCUCUUUUGAUUCCUUGCUUCUUAUCUACCUGCAUGAAAACAGUUUCUCCAUAUAUUACAUUAAGCAAUAAGGGCAUUUAAGGCCUAAUAUCAUAAUUCUGGAAGAUAAUUCAACGAUCUCAGAGAAGCGCACAUUCGGUAAAAUUUAAUCCAAUACCGUGGAACUAGCUAGAUUCAAAAAAUAGUUUAGGUAACUUUUUAGCAACAGUAUACACUGUAAGGACAGAUUUAUUCUACACUGAAGACAUGUCUCAGAGCAUCAAUCUGCGAAGGUUUCAUCACCAUGCCGCGUGCUCUAAGGGGGCAGGGCAUUUCUAUUCGUUGUGUUGGAAAAGAAGCCUAGGGUAAAGAAAAACAGGAACCAAUGAAACUUCAAACUUUACCUCUGGGAAUGUUUCGGCUUUACCUUCAUUAAUAACUUCAACUGACACUUGAGUUAUGGGUCCACUCACUUCUUCACUGUCCAAGUCAGACGGAGGAAACAAUCCAGGGACCAAAACUGGACUUUCUUCCUCACUAAACAUGGCUUCUUCGAUCACAUUUCCAUCCUGACAAGCAGACAGAGCUCCACUCGAGUUUUCCUCCGGUUCAUCAUCACUUACGUAUCCUUCAUUCUCUACAAUUACUACCGAAGAGAUUUGUUGUACAGCAUCAAGCACUUCAACCUCCUCUUCUGCACCAUUUGAUGAAGCAUCGGUCAGAAGCGUCACGCUUUGAUUGACAUUUUCAGCAACUAAGGGCAUAUCCAAGAUAAAAGAAGACUGCUGCUCCUCCUCUUGAUCGAAUGGCACAAAAUCUUCCUCCCUCAUCAUUUGGAGAUCAGCAUUUUCCCAGUCCUCACAUAUUCUUAUAGUCUUGCUAGUCUCCCAGGUUUCAAUAGCACGGUUUGGACCUGGUUGCCACAAGAUCUCCCCUGUCUGUGCCUUGAGUAUGAACUUGAAUUCAACCAAUCUUCCAACAGGCAGCUCCUAAGUUGUAGUUGUAGAAAAGGAAACCACAUCAUCGGAGUAAGUCUCCUCUUACUGAGAAUGUCAAAAAGCAAGUAGUAGACAUACCAGAUCUAGUGUCCAAACAUGGCCAUCAGACCAGUUCAGAGGUAAGGCAUUUUCAGGAUCCCAAAGACCACCGCCAAAGACGGGAUGGUCACCAAGGAUGAAGAAAUGUUCCCCAAAGACACACUCUUUCCGCAGCUGGAACCUUACACGAACCGUUCUUCCAGGGGCUGCAAAUAUAAUAAAAAAAGUAGAUGAUGAAUCAAUCAAUCCACGAAUGUUGCCAAUAAAACUAGGAAGAAUUAAAAUAGAAACUUACAUGCUUCAGUUUCUGCAUCUUCUUCUUCUAUAUUUGCCUAUACGAAAAUGUACGAAGAAAGCUUCAACGGUUAGCUACAAAAAGAAAAAUACUGAACCAUGGAAGAUGCUGUUACCUUAAUCGAGGAUGAACGAAGCGGACUCGGCUUAAGGAUCCUGCCGUGAACAGAAUCUACUCGCAAAAGCUUGAGGUGAGACGUUUUCCUUGGGAAAAUCUCAGCGCUAGCUCCACCGCGACGGAACAUCUCUGCGGGGAAAGCUUCGAGAAUGAUCUUGGCGGUGGAGGACGAAGAAGAAGAAGAAGAGGUUAGGGUUCCUCCGAUCAUCAUCUUCUUCAGCGACAAGCGAUCCUCUUCGUUUGUCUGAAUUGUGUGUGGAGCGUAAGUAAAGCAUAAUAAGCCCACGUGGCAAUGUCCGUGCAUUUGGAGAAUUCUCUUAAACUCACAUGUCGGUCCUCAUCCUCAUUUAAUUCAUACCGUUAGAUACACGCGAUUGCUUCCCACGUGCUUGUAACGAACGCCUUGGAUUGUGUGUGAAGGUUUACACAGAGGAAGGAAGCUCACGAUCCGAUAAACGCCCAUGGGCCACUUAUUCGCAGGGAAAGGAUUGCUCAUCUGAGUUAGUAAGGCCCAUUCAUUACCCAAUGACUUGGGCUUUGGAACUAAAGACUUUAUCAUUUCUCUGUUUAUUUAUAAUAACCCAUGGCAUUCCUUAUAUUAGUUCGAUUCAGAUAUAUUCAAAGUAAAAAUCAAAAUUUAAAAACAAAACAUAAGACAAGGUCUGGUUCAGAUUUUGGAUUCUAGAUUUUACGUCCAGCCCUGUACAUGCCACAUCCUUGUAGCUUAAAACUUCUGAUUUGCUAAGCCUUUUUUUUUUGUUUUGAAAAAAGGGCUUUCAACCUUUUAUUUUGUUUCUUCAAACAUCUAGCUUCUUGUUUAUUUAGUGCGGUAAUUUGGCGUACUUCAUUUUAUAUGAUUUAGUGCGGUAAUUUGUUGCCCUUGACGAUGUGUUUGAUAGAAAUUAGAAUGCCAAGUUGAGUAGUUUUGAUAUUCGACAUGCAUGUGGGACAGCCAAGUUAAGAGUAAUUUUGCAUGUUGUGUAUAUUAGACAAUGAUAAGAUGCUUAUACGUGAGGCACGAAUAUUCAAUGGAAUCUAUUUCCGAUACCGUAUAUAUCAAGUUUUGUUCCUUUUGUUAUUUCGGCAUUUUCAAAGCAAAUAUUAAAAAGAAAUAUAUAUAUAUAAGGUUGUCUUGGCGUAUUGGUUUGAUUGUAUGUUAUAUAGAUCUUCAAGUAAUUGGACAAUCAAAGUAAUUAGGCUGGCUAAUGAUUUGACAUACGUAACGAACACUUUCGACCACAUAAUAACUAAGUAAAAUGUUUGUCUUACGUUAUUAUAAACUAUAAUCAUCAUCGUUAACGUUUCACGUAUCAAUGAAAAUGUCAAUAAUUAACAAAACAAUCAUAUUUUCUUUAUCAAUUUAUCUGAUAAAAUGAGAAUUGAAGUUGGUGCGCAGGAUCAAUAUAAAUCAGAUUCAGACGUAUGCUUAUAGAUGAUUAAUUUGGUCUCUCAAAAAUAUCAUGGAGUCCGCCAAUUUGUGUGGGGCAUGUGCUUAAAUUAACAAUUCAGUCACCUAAAUAAAAUAUCAAAAUCAAUUCAUGUGACUAAGCCAUAUGUACAGGCCCGGCUCACGAGGGUGGGCAAAGGGGCAUUGGCCUAGGGCCCAAAAGAUUUUUUGCAUAAAUAGUAUUGAAAAGGGGCUCAAUAUUUUAAAAAAAAUUGAAGAUAAAGGCCCGAAAUUUUUAAGUUACCAUAUAAUUAUGUUAAAAUUUUGUUUUUUAACUAUUUUGCCAAGGGCCCAAAAUUCUUUUGAGCCGGGCCUGCAUAUGUAGUGGCUGCUUCCCACAAAACAAUUUGUCUCAUUAGUAAAUAGCAACAUAUCAAAAAAAAGAAAAAAAUAGCAACAUAUCAAUUCAUUGUAAGGCUGUAAUUAAUUUAUAAAAAAAAUAUAUCAAACCGAUGCAAACAAUAUUGUUGUACUAGUAAUCACUAGUUUAAGUGUUUUUUUUUACAUUCUUUUAACAACACCAAAUGUUUUAUAUAAACCGUUCAUUCAGCAUCAUCAAAUUCGAGUCAACAUCAACAAGAUCAAAGAUAAGUAAAAUUAUAUAUACAGAGAGAAAGACUGGUUCUGGAUCCAGAAAAUAGUUUUGCUUAUUAAAAAUAGAGGAAAUAUAUUAAAUAGUCGUGAGUAGACAUCAAAUUGAAGCAUAUGCUAAAAAAACGUUUCCAAGUGAUGCUCUUAUCUGUCUCUGCCUCACAAAGAGGAUAUCCUUUUUAUUUACACAUUCCUCUUCUUCAGAUUCCCUCUCUCUCUAUCUCUAUCACCCACAAAGAAAAUAAAAAUCUGAUUUUUUUUUGCUCCUGACGUUGCUGUUUUAAUCUGUCUUACGACACCCAACAAUUAUUAAUUUAAGGCUCUGUAGAGAAAGGAAUAAAAAAACGAUGAACCUUUCUUCUUCUUCUCUCUCUAUAAAUCUGUCUCCAACUCAUCAUCCUUUUCUUCCUAGCACGACCACAAACACAAACACUUGUUCUUCUUCUUCCUCUGCAACUACUUGUUCCCCCAGGUGUUCUUUCGUUAGCUCCCCUGUUUCCCUCGGUGCUUCGUGCCCCCGGAGAUCAUCACCCGUUAGCUUGAUUCGCAGGAAAAGUCAGAGUUUCUUCGCCGGACUUGAGGUGGUUUCUGCUUCUUCUUCUGGGUCCAGCGGUAUGACUAUUACUGAAGCUAGAGGGGAAGGUGACGAAUCGGAGAUUGAAGCUCCUCUUCUCGAUCCCGAGUCUUACUCAAAGCCCAGGAGAAUUGCUCUUUUUGUUGAGCCUUCUCCAUUCGCGUAAGUGUCCUUGAUCUUCUUUAUUUAGACAGUGAUGUCUUGUCUGUUCUGUGUUCGACGAAAUGUCUGUGUGAAAAUUGGGAUUGUGUGCGCGGAGAUGAUCCUUUCCUUUCUUAGUUGACUUUCCCGUGAUCAUUAGAUGACAACUUUAGAUUCAUACUCUAAGCUGACUUUACUAGUACUAAAUUUAUGUUUUUUUUUUACUAAUUAUAAAUCCUUCUAGUUACUGAAGUCUAAAUAAAAAAAGUAAUCUCCUCUCGAUUUUUGCAGAUAUGUCUCAGGAUACAAAAACAGAUUCCAGAACUUCAUUAGGUAUCUACGUGAAAUGGGAGACGAGGUUUGUUCUCUUUUUCUUCAAACCCAAGUAUAGUUUCAGUGAGUUAACCGAAAAGUGAAAGCUGCUCUCUUUUCUUUUCUUUUUUAAAUUGAUUAAAACUGUUUUGGCUUCAUAGGUUAUAGUCGUGACGACACAUGAAGGUGUUCCCGAAGAGUUCUAUGGAGCCAAAGUCAUUGGAUCUAGAAGGUACCAUCAUUUUUUUUCAGAUAUAUUCCUCAAUGGAAUUUGGUAACAUUGCUAAUUUUCUUGAUCUCUUCUUCUGCAGCUUCCCUUGCCCUUACUACCAGAAGGUUCCCCUCUCGCUUGCGCUUAGUCCUAGAAUUAUCUCCGAGAUUGCUCGCUUUAAGCCUGACAUUAUACACGCUUCUUCUCCUGGGAUUAUGGUAUUAAUAGUCUUUUUUUGAGAAUUCACAUCACUAAUGACUUAAAGCAUUAGCAAAACAGUGAAGUUGCUAAUCCACAAUUGAUUAAUUUUUUUCCAGGUUUUUGGAGCUCUGGCAAUAGCAAAAAUGCUAUCUGUACCAAUAGUAAUGUCUUACCACACGCACGUCCCUGUGUAAGCUACUUAUCUGUCUCCCUUAAGUUGAAUUGUUUUUAGACGUUAUAUGUUUAUAACUCGUGAACUAUCAAAGAUGUUUCUUAAGAUUAAGCUUGUGUUGAUGUGCAGAUACAUUCCAAGAUACACUUUUAGUUGGUUGGUCCAACCAAUGUGGUCAAUUAUCAGUAUGUAAACUCUGUUUUAUCAACCUUUUUUUUUUGUUUUUUCUCUCCGGUUAUUUGUGAAGUAAUAUGCGACUAAACAUGAAUGAUCUUUUUAUCAGGAUUUCUUCACCGAGCGGCUGAUCUUACAUUAGUUCCUUCCGCUGCCAUUGGAAAAGAUCUUAUUGCAGCUGGUGCAACCGCAGGUGAAUGAAUUCAGAUUAAAACACUACACUAUUUAUACAAACAUUCUCUGAUUGUUUAAAUCUAACAUUGUUCCUAUGUAUUCAAUUUUGAAGCUAAUCAACUUCGACUUUGGAAUAAGGGUGUUGAUUCAGAAAGCUUUAAUCCUCGUUUCCGUUCUCAAGAAAUGCGUAUAAGACUGAGGCAAGAAUUCAAUAUUCUUUUUUUUUUUUAUAUAUAUAUAUGGAAUAAGAACAUGGAUUCUUUCCUUGUGCUAAUCUUAAUAAUGCUUUGUAAUUUAACAGUAAUGGUGAGCCAGAAAAGCCUCUAGUGAUCCAUGUAGGACGUAUUGGCGUAGAAAAGAGUUUGGAGCUUCUAAAAAGGUCAGAUUUCUUUUGUAGCUUUACACUGGUCUUCACUCCUUUUAGGUGAGUGGUAGUGUAUCAAAAUGCUAAACUUUUGAAUGGUGCAGUGUAAUGGACAAGUUGCCUGAAGCUCGGAUUGCUUUCAUUGGAGAUGGUCCCUACAGGUACUGGCCCUACUGUUUUGUAAAAUGAGUUUUAAGGCAGCAUUAAUGUAACAUUACUUAUCUAUUUUAUUUUCUUAUUAAAAGAGAGGAUCUUGAGAAGUUGUUCGCCGGAAUGCCAGCGGUUUUCACGGGGAUGUUACAAGGGGAGGAACUCUCACAAGCUUACGCAAGCGGAGAUGUGUUUGUGAUGCCAUCAGAGUCAGAGACGCUUGGCCUUGUGGUUCUUGAGGCCAUGGCUUCAGGUCUUCCCGUUGUUGCGGCUCGAGCUGGUGGAAUCCCUGAUAUCAUCCCUGAAGAACAGGUCAGUUGAUCUUAUACAGAACUAAAAAAAUACAAAUUCAUGAUCUUGCAAUGAUUUAACUUCUGGGACAAACCAAAGUAAGAUUAUUUUAGUUGAGCGAAUGAGUUACUGAUUCUGAUGUGUGUAGGAGGGCAAAACGGGGUUUCUAUUCAACCCUGGAGAUGUGGAAGACUGCGUGACGAAGCUGAGAACUCUAUUGCACGACAAGGAAACAAGAGAAAUCAUAGGAAAGGCGGCAAGAGAAGAGACGGAGAAGUAUGAUUGGAGAGCAGCAACGACCAAGAUACGCAAUGAGCAGUACGGAGCAGCGAUAUGGUUCUGGAGGAAGAAGAAAGCUCAGGUUUUGGGACCAAUCAAUUGGUUGGUUAAACGACUCUUUCCUGUGCCGCCUGAAGUUAACGCCUAGAAGAAGCAAUCAAAGUGGAUCUGGUUGAAAUGUUACUAUCUUUACAUACUUGGUUGGAUUGCUUAUGUGCUUAUGGAAAACUUGGACGUUGUAAAAUGUGUCUGUGUCUAAUGGGUGGGGGGUUUAAAACCUGGUUUGGGCUUUGGCCUUUAGGGUUUGAUAUUUUCAGAUAAACUACUUUGUGUUUUUCAUGUAUUAAAUUUUUUCGUUAUGUAUAAAAAUGCAGGUUGUUUAAUGUUUUCUGUCUUGGUGUUUGGUUAGUAUUUACUAGUAAUGGUUAUCAAGUCGAAAGACCAAGUCAAUGUCUGUGAACAGAUGUAGCAAACAGUUAAAGUUUUGGGUUGAACAAUACGAAUCUUUGCAGAAUUUAAAAUCAAGAUGAACAACCAAUAAUAGUAGUAGCUCUCUCUCGACCGUUCAUGCCUCUCUAUCUUUGGUCUCUUUGAAAUAGGGUUCAAUCAAUCUUCCUUUUACAAGCAAACUCCUAAAAGCAGAGCUCAAAGCAGAGGAUGUCACCAGUGAGGCUCUCAACAGAUUUAAAACCUGGUUUUCAAAGUACCAGAGAAUCACAGUUUUGUCUUAUUAACUAGCCAAAGAAAGAAAAAUGGGUUUUAGUUAUAUAUACCUCUGCAUUGCUGAUGCUAAUGACUUGCACCUCAAGAUCAUCUGCUUGAACCUUCAACUUCUUCAGUAAACUAUGUUUAGACUUUUAGGUGUAACGAUCAGAUCAUCUGAUACUUUGACCCUUUCUUCACAAACCCAUUACCAGAUUCAAAGCCUGGUUUUCAAAGUACCAGAGACAAUCAAUCACAGUUUUGUCUUCCACCCAAAAUGAAUUCUGGAGUCGACAAAAGAACAUGGGCUUAUGAUGGGCUUACCACUUUCAUUGGGCCCUUAGUUCUCAGAAACAAUCAGCCCGUUUUGCGUGAGCUCUGUUCUUCUCCUCAUGUUUUCGGUUGCUCGAAGAGCUAGACUACUAGUCUUCAAACUCUCCGUUGUCUCUCUCUCGACCAGAAGAAAUGGCUGCUCACCGCUUAUUACCUUCAAGAAUCCUCCUUUUCUCCCGCGUUAAAACCCCUCACACCCGACUUAAACCUCACAAAGCCUUGACAACAUCGUCAUUAGCACCAGCACCAGCUCCCGAAUCCGAAACCCCGUCCUCUUCGUGUUCGGAUUCGGAUCCAUACUUGGUGGACAAACUCUGUUUCAGUUUGACGCAAGGUAAUAAUAAUAAUAAUAACAAUGCCGCCGCUUCUCUGCGUAACCACCUGACUCGACUAAACCCUCUCUCCGUCGUCGAGGUUCUCUACCGUUGCCGCAACGACUUAACUCUAGCUCAAAGAUUCAUCUAUCAAUUAGGUUCCCACCUUCCUAAUUUCAAGCACACAUCUUUCUCCCUAAGCGCAAUGAUCCACAUCCUCGUGAGGAGCGGGAGGCUAUCCGAUGCACAGAGCUGUCUCCUCAGAAUGGUUAGGAGAAGCGGCGUCUCCAGAGAAGAGGUCGUGAGCUCAUUGGCUUCGACGUAUACUAACUGCGCCUCCAACGAUUCCGUUUUCGAUUUGUUGAUUAGGACUUAUGUUCAAGCUAGAAAGCUAAGAGAAGCUCACGAGGCUUUCACUCUGCUGAGAAGCAAAGGCUACACUGUCUCUAUAGAUGCGUGUAAUGCUCUCAUAGGAAGCUUGGUGAGGCUCGGGUGGGUAGAGUUGGCUUGGGGAGUUUAUCACGACAUUUCUCGGAGUGGAAUUAAUGUCUACACUCUCAAUAUAAUGGUUAAUGCGUUGUGCAAAGAUGGUCAAAUUGAUAAAGUUGGAGACUUUUUAUCACAAGUGCAAGAGAAGAUGGGGGUUUAUCCUGAUAUCGUUACGUACAACACGUUGAUUAGCGCUUACUCUAGUAAAGGCUUUAUUGAAGAGGCGUUUGAGUUGAUGGACGCUAUGCCGAGUAAAGGGUUUACUCCUGGUGUUUAUACUUAUAACACUGUGAUUAAUGGUCUCUGUAAGCAUCGGAAGUACGAGAGAGCUAAGGAGGUUUUCGCUGAGAUGUUGAGAUCUGGUUUGAGUCCUGACGCUACUACGUAUAGAUCUUUGCUGAUGGAGGCUUGUAAGAAGGGAGAUGCGGUUGAAGUGGAAGAGAUUUUCAGUGAUAUGAGGUGUAGAGAUGUUGUUCCUGAUUUGGUUUGCUUUAGCUCGGUGAUGAGUCUUUUCGCUAGGAGUGGAGAUUUAGACAAGGCGUUAGUGUAUUUCAACUUUCUGAAGGGGGCUGGUUUGGUUCCUGACAACGUGAUCUACACGGUUCUUAUCCAAGGGUAUUGCAAGAAAGGUAUGCUCUCCGAAGCUAUGGAUUUGAGAAACGAAAUGCUUCGGCGUGGUUGUUGUAUGGAUGUUGUUGCAUACAAUACCAUUUUGCACGGCUUAUGCAAACGGAAAAUGCUGGGUGAUGCGGAUAAGCUCUUCAGAGAGAUGACAGAAAGGGGUUUGUUUCCGGACUCUUACACUCUAACCAUACUUAUCGAUGGACACUGUAAGCUCGGGAACCUGCAGAACGCAAUGGAGCUUUUCAAGAAGAUGAAGGAAAAGAGGAUCAGACUCGACGUUGUGACGUACAACACGCUGUUAGAUGGGUUUGGUAAAGUAGGCGAUAUCGAUACAGCGAAAGAGAUAUGGACAGAUAUGGUAUCGAGAGAGAUACUACCGACUCCAGUAUCUUACAGCAUUAUGGUUAACGCGCUGUGCAGCAAAGGCCAUCUCUCUGGAGCAUUUCGAGUUUGGGAUGAGAUGAUGAGUAAAGGUGUUAAGCCAACGGUCAUGAUUUGUAACUCUAUGAUAAAGGGGUAUUGCCGGUCUGGUAAUGCCUCGGAUGGAGAAAGCUUUUUGGACAAGAUGGUCUCUGAAGGUUUUGUGCCGGAUAUCAUCACUUACAACACGUUGAUAUAUGGUUAUGUUAGAGAAGAGAACAUGAGCAGAGCUUUUGGUUUGGUGAAGAAGAUGGAGGGGGAGAAGCAAGGGGGAGGAUUAGUGCCUGAUGUGUUUACGUAUAAUUCGAUUUUACAUGGGUUUUGUAGACAAAAUCAGAUGAAAGAAGCUGAGGCUGUAUUGAGGAAGAUGAUUGAGAGAGGUGUAGAUCCUGACAAGUCAACGUAUACUGCUCUGAUCAAUGGAUUUGUUUCUCAAGAUAACUUAACCGAGGCGUUUCGGUUUCAUGAUGAGAUGUUGCAGAGAGGAUUCUCCCCUGAUGAUCAAUUCUGAUUCAGUAACUGAUGCUCAAUUCCUGUUGUGGUUUACUGCUGCAAGUUGCAACUCACGUAAGCUGAGGAAUGGGACCACUGGAGACAAUACACAUUCCAUUGCUACUCUCCUCUCACUUUCUUCCGAGUCAAGACAUAGAAAUGAGACAGAGUAAGGUGUCUGAACGUGGCAACUGAUUAUAAAUGCAUUUUGUUAAAUCACAAGAAACCAAUUGCUUUCUGUUUCUGGACAAACUCUGACUAUACACUAACGUCUCCUCUUGUUCACAACUGAAAGAAAAAGGACAAACUGCAUUGAAUUUGUUCAAUAAUUCAAGAUCUUAAUUAAUACAUAUUGUAAAUGAUUCUACAUGUGAAAACUUAUCUCACCAAACUUGCCACUAACAAACAAAGAGAAGGACACAAGAAUUUACAAUACAACACACAAAGACUUGCAAAAUUCUAUUAAAAGAAAACACGAAACUACUUCUUGCCUUGUUCAUCAACAACAGCUGCAGCUUUUAUCACGACAAUAUCUGAUUUGUCAUCAGCACGUUCCUCAGGAACCACUGCCAUUGACUGCCUAUUACCGCAUAUUGUCCAAAGGUAUAACGCUAACAUCGCUCCUAGACUUCCACAAACCGCACCCAGAACCAACGCACCAAGCAUUCUCCAAAUACACUUGCUCUUCUUCCCUUUUACUUCCACCGUCUUCACCUCCACCUCCUCCUUAACAGUCUUGGAAACUGCGUUUGGAUCAAGCGGCUGCGAGUGAAUCCUCACCGAGGGAUGUCUCAGCUUGAAACUCCAUGAGUGGAGAUAAUGUGGCUUGGAAGAGUUUCCAUUUGAAGAGGUCAAACCCACCAUGAACUUCUUGUCUUCCCAUAUCUUAGCCAAGUCUACUGAGUAAGACACGAACGGAUCUACAGGCUUUAAGGCAGUAGAACCACUCAAACGAACCUCUACUCUCUUUGAGCUCGCCUCGUAAUCAAUCCAACAAUUCAAUCUCUUCUCUCCGUUGAAAUGGCCAUCAAAAGAUGAUAAGUUUCUAAUUUUAGCAGCUUCAGGUCUACCAACUAAGACCCCAACACGGUUUCCUCUCUUGGAGAUACCAAACUCGACAGCAACAAUCUCUUUAUGCAUUAAGAAACCUAGACCUGAGGAAGCGUUAUCCUUUCUACCAAACAGCCUAAGAUCCAAACCACUUGGAACCAUUACAAAAGCCAGGACACUACCAAACUCUUUGGAGGGCAUGGUGAACGAGAAACUAGUCGAGAAUGAACCUGGAAAGCUUCUCCCUUUAGUAGUAGCUUGGGAGAGUUUGAUGGGUUUCAUGUAAAUGACUCGCCCUUGGCUCCGACUCACUGAGCCAGUCAGCUGAAUCGACGAACCACCACUGACGAGCUUAGAAUCUCCAAACAGAGCAAUAUUCUUGUGAAAGCUCGGAGAUUUCACAAACCCAUCAAAGGAAAACGAGGAAUUUGCAUCUGAAGCAGUCGCCAUAGUUUCGAAGCUGAAAACGAACAGGAAAGCUAGGGUUUUGAAAACCGCCAUAGCUGAAAAAUUGAAAAUGGAAUCUAGAAAGGAGCUCUUUUUUCUUCUUCUUUCUUCAGCUUCCAAUGAAUGGAAUUUCUAGGAUUCGUGAAUGAAUCACAGUUUUCAAGAGUGUAGCGUGUAGAUUUUGGUGAAGAAAUUAAAUAGAAUUUAAAGUCAUCUUCUUCUGGGGGAGAGGGUGAACUUUUGGUUCGCUCUCUUUCACUCUCAGUAGUUGCUGAGUAAGUGAAAUUCAAUUAAUGCUAUCUCUGUACUUGUUACUUCUUACUUCUCUCCCCCAUGUUCUAGAUUGUGACAUUUAGGCCCACUUCUUCUUUCUUUCUUUUAAUAAUCCUUCCAAUAAUCAAAAUUGAUCGGUAACGAUGUAGGAUUACCAAGUGGCUGAGUCUUUAGAAAAAACUAGACAAAAGAAAUUAAUGCUGAUUUAAAGAUCUUAAGAUAGUGGAGAUGAAAUGAUAUUUUACUGUCCACAAACCAAAGAGAAAUAGAAAAUGUGGGGUUUGAGAUAGCAAAGGUGGAGUUGUGUUGGCAAACAAAUAGAUGGAAUCUCAUUUAUCUCUAAUAAAUGUGUUAAUUAGUGGCCAAUCCACUGAUUAUAUUAUUACCCAUACCAAAUUGCUCGUGGCUUCUCUUAAAAUAUGGGCCUAACUAAGUUCAGUAACUUUAUUCGUGGGCCUAGAAAGAGACAAUUAUACUAUUAAUUGGCCAUAACUCUUAUCAAAUAAAGAAUAUAUAUUCCUAACCAGUUUCUUACAGAUUAUAGUCAAGUCCAGUAACAAACAACCAUCUGUGACAACCGGCUUAUUGGGAAAAUGAUAAUCCAUCUGUAACUUGCUCACAACCUUUGUUAGGUGAGGUUUCACUGUACCUUGUGUUGCAAGCGAAGCUUACGUUUUUUUGUUGUUUUAUAGGAAUACAAUGCGAGUAUAGAGUUUUACUGGGCACCGUUUAUUGUGGAAUCGAACACGGAUUUGCCUGUGAUUUUGGAUAUGAAGAAGAGGGUAGUAAAAGUGGAUUCAGUGGAAGAUCGAUCAAAGUAUUGGGAAGGAGCUGAUAUUCUAGUUUUCAACACAUAUGUUUGGUGGAUGAGUGGACUCAGAAUGAAAGCUUUGUGGGGUUCAUUUGGAAAUGGAGAGAGCGGUGCGGAGGCAUUAGACACACCAGUGGCUUACAGGUUAGGGCUCAAGACAUGGGCUAAUUGGGUUGACUCUACCGUUGACUCUAACAAGACCAAAGUCUUCUUCACUACCAUGUCCCCUACUCAUACUAGGUAAGAAAAACAUCUAGUUUUUGGAUUUAUUUAUUUGUUACGGUUACUAUAAAUUAUAAACGUAAAUGCGUAAUGCAAACGCAUGGUUCCAUAUAUAUACACAUGCAAAGAACGAUCUUAGCACACAUAAAACAAUCAAAACGAGCCUGUAUAGUUAUUAUCUAGAGUGUUGUGUAAAACGUGCAGAAGUGCGGAUUGGGGGAAGCCAAACGGGACGAAGUGUUUCAACGAGACAGAGCCAGUAAAAGAUAAGAGGUUUUGGGGAACUGGGUCGAACAAGCAGAUGAUGAAAGUGGUGUCAAGCGUCGUGAAGCACAUGGCCACGCACGUGACUGUCAUUAACAUCACGCAGCUCUCGGAGUACCGCAUCGACGCCCACACAUCGGUCUACACGGAGACUGGGGGAAAGAUGCUAACGGCUGAGCAGAGAGCUGAUCCAAUGCGUAACGCUGAUUGCAUACAUUGGUGCCUCCCUGGAUUGCCCGAUACGUGGAAUCGGAUCCUAUUGGCUCAUUUGUAAACAAAUAAAAAGCUAGGAAACAUGCAUGUACGUACUAAGGAUGGAUGUAACGGGAAAACCCAACUCCUCUCUCUCGCUCUUGUGUUGUCAUCAGUAUUUUUUUUUGAAUAUAUGUGAUUGUAACGUUGUAAACAUAAACAAGAGGUGGAGAAAACUGAAAAGAAAAGGAACAAAAAUUUGUUAUUGCAAGAAAUUUGUUCAUUCCUGUCCUAAAUGAAUUGCAUCAUUGAAAACAAAACAGUUUCAUGUAGCGCUGGGUAAAAUAUCUGGAAAUGAAAAACCUUCCGACCCGAAACCGACUCAAAAAUUAGGGUUUUGAACCCGAUCGGAUCCGGGUAAAUAACCGAAUGGAUCUUAAAUUGAUGUAUCCGAAGAACCGGUAUCCAACCCGAUCCGAACCGAAAACCGAAUGAGUAUCCGAAGAUAUCCGAAAUGUAAAUAUAUAUUUAUUAGUUAUUUUCAAUACUUUUGUGUAGUUUUGGAUAAAAGAUGAUAGUUUGGAAAUAAAUAUUCAAACAAGUAUUUUUGGUUAUUUUUUGACACAUUUGGGUAGUUUGGAUACAAAAUACCCAAAUGGAAUCGAGCCCGUUUUAGAUAUAUUGGUUAUUCGGUUAUUUUCAGGUUUCUUUACAUCAGAACCGAACUUAUUUAGAUCUGGGAAGAUUCGACUCAAACCCGACCCGAAAUUUUGUAAUGUCCGAACCCGAAAAACUCUGAGACCCGAAACGGCCUAGUUUCAUGCAAGUCAACUAACAAAAAGAGGGCCAAGAUAGAUGUAGUCGGCCCAUAUACAAAGCGAUGGGCCAGGAAAGAAGGGGGAUUACAGACCGUUAGAUUGUAUAAGAGAGACAUGUGACCGUCCGAUGGUUUACCCUAAAGGGACAAGUCAUCGCCGUCGUCACGAGUUUAUUAUAUACAUGGACAAAUCUGAAACCUGUGAAUUUAGAGACGUCGCCACGAAUUUCGUUUGAUCUCGAAACUUCCCCAAUCUUCCGUCGUUUGCAUCAUCAGGUCAGGUAUUAAAUUUGCUGAGUUUCUGUCUCCUUGGAUUGAAUUUUUGGUCCAUAAAAAUUGUGGUGAUUUGGGGGUUUUGUUGUGAUAGGAAAGUGAGAGAUAAUAAUGGCGGGAGGAGGAAACUUUAUUGGGAGAGUGAUCUCAUACGUUGCCAACGAGCUCAUUGUUAAUGGUUUGUCUAACAGGUAGCUUUCCUUCUCCAUCUUCUUUUGGGUAUUCUACAUUCAUCAUUUCAAUUUUUUUUUUUUUAAAUUGGAUCCUUAUAAUACAAAAGCUUGCUUCAUUCUCUGGCUGAUUGGAUUAUUAUAAUAAGUUCCUCAUCGGCUCGUUCAUAUUGAAGCUAGAUAGCCUCAACUUACACGCUGGUCUGCUGCGUCGUCAUAUAUCCCAUACGCUGCAGCGUAGGAAGAUUGAAAGAUUCUAUUUUUUUCUUCUUUGUUUUACAUUUGAUUGCGUGAUACUGAUACUGAUGCAUCUUUUAGGUUUCUGCUGGUGAUGAUUUUGUAGGCUUGUUCUGAUCUUAGAUAUGGCAUUACUCUUGUUGAAUCUUAAGACAGCUUCCCCGUUUUAUGAUUUUGUUUGUUUGAUUUGAUCAUUUGGAAUUCUCAGUGGAUCGAUCUUUAAUUGUUUCACCAAAAUUGAUUGUAUAUUUUCGCUCUCUGUUUUGGUAGCCAUGCUUUCCAGAGAUUUGCUGUGAGGACCUCUAAAAGAAUCGAGAACAUCUCUAAAAUGGGUUUGUACUACUUAAACUUUACCUCCUCAAGAAUUUUAUAUGUUUACUCCCUCCCUCGUGUUGACAACUUUUUGGAAUUUGCUUUUUUUUUUUUACAGCUGCAGAGAGCAAGGAGAAAGUGGCUCAGCAUAUGGAGGAACUUUCCAAGAACUCUGAUGUGAGUUUCUUUUCCCUUAAAAACUCUUUGUGUUUUUGAAGGAGACUGUUUAUAACUAAAUGACUGUUGUUACUUUUCAGACUUUCAAGAAGCCGUGAUAAUUCAGUCUUUCGAAGCUGAGGGGUAUUACAUGGAUCACCCUUGAGGGUCUAUUAUGUCUAUAUAUAUAAAAAAAGAAUGCUUGAAUGUAAUAAGCUUGUGGGUUAAACACAAUCUUUUGAGCUUUUUCUCUUCUUUUUCAAAAAAACACAUUCGGCCGGAGUGGAGUUACUUUGCUUUGUGAAAAUAUGUGAAGUCUUUGCUUGUUAUUCUCUAUUCAUUCCAAGUGUCUCCGUUGCUUAGAUUCUUCAUGUUUUGUGCGUUUUAAACGUGUAAUUAUGGUCUCGAUUUGAAGGGAAUUCCCAACUUUACGCGUAAUUGUCAUGACGGGAUAAUUAGAAGUCAGGACUUGGAACGAGAUAUGCUUGUCGUCUUAAUGAAACAAAUGCUUGUAAGAUAUAUGAUUUGUUAUCUUACAAGUCAAUGAAAGUUAGCAGACCAUAAGACGUAAAUGAAAAUGAAAAGUAAGGUGAUUAAGGAAGAGUGAACAAACUUUGGGAAGAGAUUCAGUAGUGGGGUCUUUGAACAUGGUGGAUGAAAGAGAGAUGUUACACAAAAUGAGCCGUGCGUUGAAGUUUAGUUGGCUUCCUUUUUUUACUUAUCUUCUUUUAAUAAUUUUUGUUACGUACUGUAUUAAACAAAAUAUUUUUUAAAAAAAUUCCCUAUUAAAUAGAAGAAAUAUUGGGAGAAUAUUUAUGAGAAGACAGGCAGAGAGAGAGAGAGAGAGUGUCAUUUUCUCUCAUGCUUAUUAAAAUAAAUUAAAAAAGAUACAACAAGAUUCGUUUUGAUGGGUUUCCAAGAAAAGAUUUUGCUAAUUGUGAAUUUAAUUACGGAAGAUAACAAAUAAAAUAAAGGAGGAGCCUGUAACAGCAGAGGCCAGGAGAGGAGGUGGGUAGGCGAAUGAAGUAAAAGAAGAGAUAAGCAUAUAACUCACUCAAACGUAACCACUCUCUCUCUAUCUCAGCCGAGGAUCUAGUGGAGAUGUCGUCGUCGGCGAAGACGGAUUCGAAGAGCCAGGCGUCGAUUCCGCCCUACAUGAAGGCAAUCUCGGGCUCGCUGGGCGGAGUG
RNAcentral lists this long non-coding RNA (29269 nucleotides) under Brassica rapa (field mustard). Its description in RNAcentral is "long non-coding RNA (BRAP_LNC008935)". The record is from RNAcentral. Lineage: Eukaryota; Viridiplantae; Streptophyta; Magnoliopsida; Brassicales; Brassicaceae.